UACGGGGGGUGCGAGCGUUGUUCGGAAUUACUGGGCGUAAAGGGCUCGUAGGCGGCCAACUAAGUCGGACGUGAAAUCCCCAGGCUCAACCUGGGAACUGCGUCCGAUACUGGAUGGCUUGAAUCCGGGAGAGGGAUGCAGAAUUCCAGGUGUAGCGGUGAAAUGCGUAGAUAUCUGGAGGAAUACCGGUGGCGAAGGCGGCAUCCUGGACCGGCAUUGACGCUGAGGAGCGAAAGCCAGGGGAGCAAACGGG
Molecule: ribosomal RNA, 253 nt
Filed under: uncultured bacterium
Lineage: Bacteria
Description: partial 16S ribosomal RNA
Rfam family: Bacterial small subunit ribosomal RNA
Source: RNAcentral